This 253-nucleotide ribosomal RNA is filed under the name uncultured bacterium. Its description in RNAcentral is "partial 16S ribosomal RNA". It matches the Rfam family "Bacterial small subunit ribosomal RNA", at positions 524 to 776 of the family's 1533-position model. The record is from RNAcentral.
GACGGAGGGUGCUAGCGUUGUUCGGAAUCACUGGGCGUAAAGCGCGCGUAGGCGGAUUGUUAAGUCGGGGGUGAAAUCCUGAGGCUCAACCUCAGAACUGCCUUCGAUACUGGCGAUCUUGAGUCCGGGAGAGGUGAGUGGAAUUCCUAGUGUAGAGGUGAAAUUCGUAGAUAUUAGGAAGAACACCAGUGGCGAAGGCGGCUCACUGGCCCGGUACUGACGCUGAGGCGCGAAAGCCAGGGGAGCAAACGGG